Molecule: ribosomal RNA, 272 nt
Filed under: uncultured soil bacterium
Lineage: Bacteria
Description: partial 16S ribosomal RNA
Rfam family: Bacterial small subunit ribosomal RNA
Source: RNAcentral
AGAAUCAACGCUGGCGGCGUGCCUCAGACAUGCAAGUCGAACGCGAAAGUCCCCUUCGGGGGCAAGUAGAGUGGCGCACGGGUGAGUAACACGUAGGUAAUCUACCUUUGGAUGGGGAAUAACAAUCGGAAACGGUUGCUAAUACCGCAUAAUGCAGCGGCACCUAAUGGUGACAGUUGUUAAAGCGGGGGAUCGAAAGACCUCGCGUCUGAAGAGGAGCCUGCGGCGGAUUAGCUAGUUGGUAAGGUAAUGGCUUACCAAGGCAACGAUCC